GCAUAGGUGGUUCACUGGUAGAAAAGUCGCCUGCCACGCGGGAGACCCGAGUAUGACUCCUGGCCAAUGCA
This 71-nucleotide transfer RNA is filed under the name Danio rerio (zebrafish). It matches the Rfam family "tRNA". From Rfam's summary of the family: Transfer RNA (tRNA) molecules are approximately 80 nucleotides in length. Their secondary structure includes four short double-helical elements and three loops (D, anti-codon, and T loops). The record is from Rfam by way of RNAcentral. Lineage: Eukaryota; Metazoa; Chordata; Actinopteri; Cypriniformes; Danionidae.